This is a long non-coding RNA of Salmo salar (Atlantic salmon), 772 nucleotides long. RefSeq lists it as uncharacterized. The record is from RefSeq and is a predicted model, not a curated record. Lineage: Eukaryota; Metazoa; Chordata; Actinopteri; Salmoniformes; Salmonidae.
UAGUCAUUAAGAGGGCUAUUUAGUUCAGCUGGCCCGCUCCCUAUUGUGCGGGAUUGUCUUUCUGUGUGUCGACUGCGGUUUGUUCGAGUGUGCUUGUCGAGUGUAUUUUCCCUGUUGUUGGGAAACCUUUUAUUUUGUGCUUGUGGUUUAUUAAAAUUACCACACAGUGUUCGCUGCUUCCUGCGCUUCUUUCCGCCACACAACAGACAAGCCGUUACAGUAAUGCAGGUUUGAUAGUUGUAUUUUCAAUAAUGAAUGGUUAGCUGUUAGGUGUUAUGUGACAUUUAGGUCAAAAACUCUAUUUUUAUUUUUGGUGUAGAUGGCCAAGGAAGUUGCACAGAACUUCCCCAACAUCCCCUCCCAAAUUGAUAUGGAACCUUCAAAAACACACGGAGCAACUGCGAAAAGAAAUGGCUGAGGAUAUACUAAAAAUGUCUGAGUUCAACAAAGCCAACAACUGCUUCAUUUGUGCCACUGAUAAAGAACCUGGAUGUGGCCCUGACUGGAUUGAAUGUUUUGCAUGCCAACGGUGGUUCCAUGUGCUGUGCCUAGGAAUGAAGACAGAGUUCAACAGAGUAAAGAACACAAACUGGAAGUGCAGUCUUUGUUGUUGAAAAUGUAUGCUAUACCCCAUCCACACUGAAGAGGCUCUGAAAUGUACAUCAACCAGGGAUAAAGAGAAAGUUAACACUGUGAAAUGUUUCAUACUUAAUUGAAGUUAAGUGUCCGUUGACAUGUUGGAAAAGAUUAAAGGUCUACAAUUUCUGUUUAA